CAGGAUGAACGCUGGCGGCGCGCCUAACACAUGCAAGUCGAACGGUUAAAGCACCUUCGGGUGUGUAGUAGAGUGGCGAACGGCUGAGUAACACGUGGGCAACCUGCCCCUCGCACCGGAAUAGCCGGCGGAAACGCCGGGUAAUGCCGGAUACGCCCCAGGGGGGACAUCCUCCCCGGGGGAAAGCCCAGACGGCGAGGGAUGGGCCCGCGGCCUGUUAGCUAGUUGGUGGGGUAACGGCCCACCAAGGCCAUUAUGGGUAGCUGGGUUGAGAGACCGACCAGCCAGAUUGGGACUGAGACACGGCCCAGACUCCUACGGGAGGCAGCAGUGGGGAAUCUUGCACAAUGGGCGAAAGCCUGAUGCAGGCCGACGCCGCGUGCGGGACGAAGGCCUUCGGGUUGUAAACCGCUUUCAGCAGGGACGAGGCCGCGAGGUGACGGUACCUGCAGAAGAAGCCCCGGCUAACUACGUGCCAGCAGCAGC
This 486-nucleotide ribosomal RNA is filed under the name uncultured bacterium. Its description in RNAcentral is "bacterial SSU rRNA". It matches the Rfam family "Bacterial small subunit ribosomal RNA", at positions 25 to 518 of the family's 1533-position model. The record is from RNAcentral.